CAGUCGCCACGGGAAUACGUAGGGUGCAAGCGUUAAUCGGAAUUACUGGGCGUAAAGCGUACGCAGGCGGUUAUAUAAGACAGAUGUGAAAUCCCCGGGCUCAACCUGGGAACUGCAUUUGUGACUGUAUAGCUAGAGUACGGCAGAGGGGGAUGGAAUUCCGCGUGUAGCAGUGAAAUGCGUAGAUAUGCGGAGGAACACCGAUGGCGAAGGCAAUCCCCUGGGCCUGUACUGACGCUCAUGCACGAAAGCGUGGGGAGCAAACAGGAUUAGAUACCCCGGUAGUCCCUGUCUCUUAUAU
This 301-nucleotide ribosomal RNA is filed under the name uncultured bacterium. RNAcentral's name for it is "partial 16S ribosomal RNA". It matches the Rfam family "Bacterial small subunit ribosomal RNA", at positions 509 to 809 of the family's 1533-position model. The record is from RNAcentral.